GACGAACGCUGGCGGCGGGCUUAACACAUGCAUGUCGAACGAGAUGCGCUGGUGCUUGCAUCAGCAUAUCAUCAAGUGGCAAAUGGGUGAGUAACACGUGAGGGAUCUACCCCGAAGACGGGAAUAACCUUGGGAAACCAAGACUAAUACCCGAUACCCCCAUAGAGAUGAGUCUCUAUGAGGAAAUGCUCCGGCGCUUUGGGAGGGCCUCGCGGACUAUCAGCUUGUUGGUAAGGUAAUGGCUUACCAAGGCUAUGACGGUUAGCUGGUCUGAGAGGACGAUCAGCCACACUGGAACUGAGACACGGUCCAGACUCCUACGGGAGGCAGCAGUGGGGAAUCUUGCGCAAUGAGCGAAAGCUUGACGCAGCCACGCCGCGUGAGGGAUGACGGCUUUCGAGUUGUAAACCUCUUUCAGUAGGGAAGAAAAUGACGGUACCUACACAAGAAGCUCCGGCCAACUACGUGCCAGCAGCCGCGGUAAUACGUAGGGAGCAAGCGUUGUCCGGAUUUACUGGGCGUAAAGGGCUCGUAGGCGGUUUGAUAAGUCGGAUGUGAAAACUUUGGGCUCAACCCAAAGACGCCAUUCGAUACUGUCAUGACUAGAGUCUGGUAGAGGAGUGCAGAAUUUCCGGUGUAGCGGUGGAAUGCGUAGAUAUCGGAAGGAAUACCAAUGGGGCGAAGGCAGCACUCUGGGCCAGAACUGACGCUGAGGAGCGAAAGCGUGGGUAGCAAACAGGAUUAGAUACCCUGGUAGUCCACGCUGUAAACGAUGGGUACUAGGUGUGGGAUUUAGUUAAAAAAUUCUGCACCGUAGCUAACGCAUUAAGUACCCCGCCUGGGGAGUACGGCCGCAAGGCUAAAACUCAAAGGAAUUGACGGGGGUCCGCACAAGCGGCGGAGCAUGUUGCUUAAUUCGAGGCAACGCGAAGAACCUUACCUGGGUUUGACAUGUAGGGCUUAGUAGUAGAGAUACUGCUUUUCACAAAAGGAACCCUACACAGGUGGUGCAUGGCUGUCGUCAGCUCGUGUCGUGAGAUGUUGGGUUAAGUCCCGCAACGAGCGCAACCCUUGUCCUAUGUUGCCAGCGCGUAAUGGCGGGGACUCAUGGGAGACUGCCGGGGUCAACUCGGAGGAAGGCGGGGAUGACGUCAAGUCCUCAUGCCCCUUAUGCCCAGGGCUGCAAACAUGCUACAAUGGUCGGUACAACGGGCUGCAACACUGCGAAGUGAAGCGAAUCCCUUAAAACCGAUCUCAGUUCGGAUUGAAGUCUGCAACUCGACUUCAUGAAGCCGGAGUCGCUAGUAAUCCCAGAUCAGCAACGCUGGGGUGAAUAUGUUCCCGGACCUUGUACACACCGCCCGUCACACCACGAAAGUCGGCAACACCCGAAGUCAGUGACCUAACUAAUUUAUUAGAUGGAACUGCCGAAGGUGGGGUUGGUAAUUGGGGUG
This 1454-nucleotide ribosomal RNA is filed under the name uncultured Actinomycetes bacterium. RNAcentral describes it as "bacterial SSU rRNA". It matches the Rfam family "Bacterial small subunit ribosomal RNA". The record is from RNAcentral. Lineage: Bacteria; Bacillati; Actinomycetota; Actinomycetes.